GGCGGCUGGCCGGCGCGGCCCGCCGGGAGGGCCGUCGGCCGUCGGCCGCCCAGCUGGUGGCCGAGCGCUUCGCGUUCGACGCGCUGAGCCGCGGC
Molecule: transfer RNA, 95 nt
Filed under: Actinoplanes nipponensis
Lineage: Bacteria; Bacillati; Actinomycetota; Actinomycetes; Micromonosporales; Micromonosporaceae
Description: tRNA-Asp
Source: RNAcentral